RNAcentral lists this ribosomal RNA (274 nucleotides) under uncultured bacterium. Its description in RNAcentral is "partial 16S ribosomal RNA". It matches the Rfam family "Bacterial small subunit ribosomal RNA", at positions 523 to 796 of the family's 1533-position model. The record is from RNAcentral.
AUACGGAGGGGGUUAGCGUUGUUCGGAAUUACUGGGCGUAAAGCGUACGUAGGCGGAUCAGAAAGUAUAGGGUGAAAUCCCAGGGCUCAACCCUGGAACUGCCUUAUAAACUCCUGGUCUUGAGUUCGAGAGAGGUGAGUGGAAUUCCAAGUGUAGAGGUGAAAUUCGUAGAUAUUUGGAGGAACACCAGUGGCGAAGGCGGCUCACUGGCUCGAUACUGACGCUGAGGUACGAAAGUGUGGGGAGCAAACAGGAUUAGAAACCCCGGUAGUCC